GAUGAACGCUAGCGGCAGGCCUAAUACAUGCAAGUCGAGGGGCAGCGCGGUAGCAAUACUGGCGGCGACCGGCGCACGGGUGCGUAACGCGUAUGGAACCUACCCUUCACUGGGGGAUAGCCCGGAGAAAUUCGGAUUAAUACCCCAUGGUAUGUGAGAGAGGCAUUUCUUUCACAUUAAAGAUUUAUCGGUGAGGGAUGGCCAUGCGUAUGAUUAGCUAGUUGGCGGGGUAACGGCCCACCAAGGCGACGAUCAUUAGGGGGUCUGAGAGGAUGAUCCCCCACACUGGUACUGAGAUACGGACCAGACUCCUACGGGAGGCAGCAGUAGGGAAUAUUGGUCAAUGGGCGAGAGCCUG
This 358-nucleotide ribosomal RNA is filed under the name uncultured bacterium. RNAcentral describes it as "bacterial SSU rRNA". It matches the Rfam family "Bacterial small subunit ribosomal RNA", at positions 28 to 385 of the family's 1533-position model. The record is from RNAcentral.